RNAcentral lists this ribosomal RNA (238 nucleotides) under uncultured bacterium. RNAcentral describes it as "partial 16S ribosomal RNA". It matches the Rfam family "Bacterial small subunit ribosomal RNA", at positions 80 to 334 of the family's 1533-position model. The record is from RNAcentral.
CGGAAAGUGUAUAGAGUGGCGCACGGGUGAGUAACACGUAGGUUAUCUACCUCCGAGUGGGGAAUAACAUCGGGAAACCGAUGCUAAUACCGCAUAAUACCGAAAGGUCAAAGCUUUAGUGCUUGGAGAGGAGCCUGCGGCAGAUUAGCUAGUUGGUAAGGUAAUGGCUUACCAAGGCGACGAUCUGUAUCCGGUCUAAGAGGACGGUCGGACACACUGACACUGAAUAACGGGUCAG